UCUACGGGAGGCAGCAGUAGGGAAUCUUCCACAAUGGGCGCAAGCCUGAUGGAGCAACACCGCGUGAGUGAAGAAGGGUUUCGGCGCGUAAAGCUCUGUUGUUGGAGAAGAACGUGCGUGAGAGUAACUGUUCACGCAGUGACGGUAUCCAACCAGAAAGUCACGGCUAACUACGUGCUAGAAGCCGAGGUCAUACGUAGGUGGCAAGCGUUAUCAGGUUUUAUUGGGCGUAAAGCGAGCGCAGGCGGUUGCUUAGGUCUGAUGUGAGAGCAUUCGGCCUAACCGAAGAAGUGCGUCGGAAACCGGGCUACUUGAGUGCAGAAGAGGACAGUGGAACUCCAUGAGUAGCGGUGGAAUGCGUAGAUAUAUGGCAGAACACCAGUGGCGAAGGCGGCUGUCUGGUCUGCAACUGACGCUGAGGCUCGAAAGCAUGGGUAGCGAACAGGAUUAGAUACCCUUGUAGUC
This 465-nucleotide ribosomal RNA is filed under the name uncultured bacterium. RNAcentral's name for it is "partial 16S ribosomal RNA". It matches the Rfam family "Bacterial small subunit ribosomal RNA", at positions 338 to 795 of the family's 1533-position model. The record is from RNAcentral.